RNAcentral lists this long non-coding RNA (1425 nucleotides) under Panax ginseng (ginseng). RNAcentral's name for it is "long non-coding RNA (PGIN_LNC007649)". Lineage: Eukaryota; Viridiplantae; Streptophyta; Magnoliopsida; Apiales; Araliaceae. The record is from RNAcentral.
GCCAUUCCAUUCCUUAAGUUUCUAUUCCAUACAUGCCAAGUGUUAGAAUAUAGGAUCACACACACGCACACAAACGAUAGAGAAUUAAGAAGAACAUGAGAUUUACGUGGUUCCCCAAUUUUGAUACUCCACAGGCUGCUUGUUGUUUAUUGAUGAUUCCUUGAUUACAUAGGACUUUACAAUAGAUAGUAUAUAUACAUACUAAUCAUAUUUCAACCCUACUUCACAUUAUGGUUAAUUACACAUAAUGCUCUUUCCAAUUAAUAACCCAGAAAUAUUCUGACGCCGAACAGCGCGGCCCGCGCCACUCCAAAGCUUACCAUAGCGCGGCCCGUGCUACCUGCCCAGUAGCUCUUCCAGUGUCAGCGCGCCCCGCGCCGCUCCCAGACUUAACCUAGCGCGUCCUACACUAGCCUUUUUCAGUGGCUACUAUAUUUUGAGUCACAAGUUCCCAACACCAAAGAAUGAGAACCAAACAUAGAAACGGUUCCUCUUCCUCGGAUGAGACGAAAUGGUAGCAGUUGUUACUAUUUUGUAUAUUUUCUUUGUACAUCAUUAAUCUUGAGUGCACCAGUCGUACUACCUGAUCUAGUAUCUGUGCUUGCUAUUUAGAGUAAAUCAUGAGCUCUACUUCUUUGGAUUGUUGUGUUCAUGCUCUUUAAAUUUAUAACAUUGUUAUUUAAUUUUCUUCUAUAAUUAAUUAAUGAUAUUAUUUUGUGGUAGUGUUCCUUUUUUCUUCUUUGGAUUCCCAUGCCCUUAUCUUCUGUCCUAACUCCUAAGCAACAAUGAUUGUAUUUUCUAUAUUAAAUUCAUGCAGUUUACAGUAGGAAAAAGCUUAAAUUUCCAUACUAUCUAGUCAAAUUGGCAUCGUUCCAUAGAUGUUGGGUUGGGUUGGGUUGUUAUCUGAUGAUCAGUCAAAGAUCGGUUAAUGAUUAAAUAUAAUAGUUGUCAAAACUGAAAGAAUAACAAUAAUUAAAUUAAGUUCUCUCUAUGUUACCACCAACAUUAUAUAUAAUAUAUAUUUAUAUAUGGAGAAUGCUCUAUAGUUUGCGUUAGUUAUGAAUAUUAUUUCAAUUAGUUCAUCUGUAGAGACUAGAAUGAGCAAGGCAGAGGCCUAAUUGCUAGUCCCUCCUGCGGCCUCCCAAAUUGAUCAGCCUUUUCUUACUGGUUGUAGGAGGGACUAGCGACCAGUUAAAACGCUAGUCCUCUUGCGGCCAGUAUGACAAGUCCCGCGAUUAAGAUUGAGAAGUCAUGCGGCCAGUAUUUGAGGGCAUAUUAGUACUUUAGCUAGCCGUAUGAGGGAGUUGCACUGGUCGCAAGAGAGACUAACGGCCUUGCUCAUUCUAGUCCCUUAGACCAUUUUAGUCCUUUAGAUCUUACAUUGGACGACAACACAUGAGCUAGUUAAAAUAAUGCUCAUAACUA